RNAcentral lists this long non-coding RNA (3667 nucleotides) under Salmo salar (Atlantic salmon). RNAcentral's name for it is "lncRNA (ENSSSAG00000095333.1)". The record is from RNAcentral. Lineage: Eukaryota; Metazoa; Chordata; Actinopteri; Salmoniformes; Salmonidae.
CACCUGCUGCCAAUUAGCCAACCCUCUUCGUCAAGCUGUUGUUUGAAAAAAAUAACUGCGGCUCGCAACAUCAAAGAUGUUCCCCAAAUGAGAAAACGAUAUUACACACACACACUCCAUGGUUAGGAACGUCAUUUAUCUUCAUCUAUGGCAGACCAUCCUUGAGCGGCUCCGGCAGGAGCAAGUAAUUGAAAAACAGCUUUGGAGCUUCGAAUCCAUGUUAUUUAGCGGCGAUGAUAAUUGAUGACUCUCAGCUUGUGGAGUCCUGGGAGUCGUUUGUAUUCAUUAGUGUAAAUUCUAAUUAGGGUUUGUGAUUAAAAUGUGACUGUAACAGGCAGCGGGUUGCCGGGUGCGGAGACAGGCGCUGAUGAGACCUCUGGUUCGGGUCAUUGCCUCAGAGAUUUGCCCUUAACCAGUAGUGUCAUGGAUGAGGAGGACGACAGUCCUCACUGCCGGCUAGCGCCAUCAAUCUGUGUCUACUUCCAGUUGAGACAUCCGCUCUGAUGGACACUGCAUUUGCUUAAAGGAGAGAUAGGGAGAGUGCUCCGGGGAUGAUGACAAUCGUUGACCCUGUUUUUCUGUAAGACAAAGUGCACAGUUGGCUGCCAGACUUAUCCCCUGGUUAUGAAUGGACGACCUACCAGAAGGAGCUAAGCUUGUCAGUCUCCCUCGACUCCUAUGAAAAGGACAGCCCAUCCUGAGACCUCUGAUAGUGACCCGAGUUACUGUCCUGAUGACACAGACGGCUUCAUCAACAACGACAGGCAAUGUGUGUUAUGUGAAAAGUUGUAUUAAAAAAUACUCGACUUGAUAAACUAACAGGCUAAUUCCGCAGCCAAGCAGAUACAACUAGAGUCAUUUUUAGAACAAAAUGCAAUUUACCACUUGGCUGUCUGUUAUAUCACCCUGUCACAUGCCGUCCCAGUCAACACCACCACAUAAGAUUGCCUGCUGCAGUUGUUUAAGAGAUGUCCAGUUUGCAGCCGAACAUGCAGCAUAUAUACUGAACAAAAAUAUAAAUGCAACAAUUUCAACAAUUUUACUCAGUUACCGUUCAUAUAUGGAAAUCAGUCAAGUGAAAUAAAUUAAUUAGGCCCUAAUCUAUGGAUUUCACAUGACUGGGCAGGGGCGCAGUCAUGUAAGGGCAUAGGCCCACCCACUUGGGAGCCAGGCCCACCCACAGGGAAGCCAGGCCCAGCCAAUCAGAAUGAGUUUCCCCCACAAAAGGGCUUUAUUACAGACAGAAACAGUCUGCAGUUUCAUCAGGUGGCCGGUCUCAGAUGAUCCCACGGGGGAAAAAGUCGGAUGUGGAGGUCCUGGGCUGGCGUGGUUACACGUGGUUACACGUGGUCUGUAGUUGUGAGGCCAUUUGGACGUACUACCAAAUUCUGUAAAAUAACAUUGGAGGUGGCUUAUGGUAGAAAAAUUAACAUGAAAUUCUCUGACAACAGCUCUGGUGGACAAUCCUGCUGUCAGCAUGCCAAUUGCAUGCACCCUCAAAACUUCAGACAUCUGUGGUGUUGUUUUGUGUGACAAAACUGCACAUUUUAGAGUGGCCAUUUUUUAAACAUGGGCCCAACACUUCACAUGUUGCGUUUAUAUUUUUGUUCAGUAUAGAAGACCUAGCAAGGGGGCUCUCAUUAGCAUCAUGCAGACAUGCACUCGCUGUCAGCAUUCCAAUUAAUGGAACAGUCAGACAUGUGUUGGCAAUUAAUCUUGUGUGUGUGACCGACCAGUAUCUUUUAUGAGGGGCCAGAAACUGAUCUAUGCUGCUAUGUCCAUCAAUGGGGUUCUGGCAAAGACCUCACCUCCAGCCUCACCUCUUGCCUGCUCUUCAACGGUCGUCAAUGGGGAGAACAGAAUUAGGUUUAGACUGACUUCACCAAAGUAUAUGUUUGUGUGUCAGAUUUCACCUGUUCCGGGAUGCUGGCCUUCGAGGCAGAGUUUCUCUGUCCAGUGUCUGUGUUCUUUUACCCAUCUUAAUAUUUUAUUUUCAUUGCAACUCUUCUCGGGAGAGUUGCGAAGAAAAAGAUAUGGCUUAAAGUGACAAGUGAUCCAUUUAUUAAAGUGGCCAAUGAUUUCAAGUCUGUAUGUAGGCAGCAGCCUCUCUGUGUUAGUGAUGGCUGUUUAACAGUCUGAUGGCCUUGAGAUAGAAGCUGUUUUUCAGUCUCUCGGUCCCAGCUUUGAUGCACCUGUACUGACCUCACCUUCUGGAUGGUAGCGGGGUGAACAUGCAGUGCCUCGGGUGGUUGUUGUCCUUGAGGAUCUUUUUGACCUUACUGUGACAUCGGGUGCUGUAGGUGUCCUGGAGGGCAGGUAGUUUACCCCCAGUGAUGCAUUGUGCAGACCGCACCACCCUCUGGAGAGCCUUUACGGUUGUGGACGGUGCAGUUGCCAUACCAGGCGGUGAUACAACCCGGCAGGAAGCUCUCAAUUGUGCAUCUGUAAAAGUUUAUGAGGGUUUUAGGUGACAAGACACAUUUCUUUAGCCUCCUGAGGUUGAAGAGGCUCUGUUGCACCUUCUUCACCGCACUGUCUGUGUGGGUGGACUAUUUCAGUUUGUCCGUGAUGUGUACACCGAGGAACUUAAAACUUUCCACCUUCUCCACUGCUGACUUGUCGAUGUGGAAUGGGGGGUGCUCCAUCUGCUGUUUCCUGAAGUCCACAAUCAUCUCCUUUGUUUUGUUGACAUUGAGUGAGAGGUUGUUUUCCUGACACCACACUCCAAGUGCCCUCACCACCUCCCUGUAGGCUGUCUCGUCGUUGUUGGUAAUCAAGCCUACUACUGUUGUGUCGUCUGCAAACUUGAUGAUUGAGUUGGAGGUGUGCAUGGCCACGCAGUCAUGGGUGAACAGGGAGUACCGGAGGGGGCUGAGCACGCACCCUUGUAGGGCCCCAUUGUUGAGGAUCAGUGAAGUAGACAUGUUGUUUCCUACCUUCACCACCUGGGGGCGGCCCAUCAGGAAGUCCAGGACCCAAUUGCACAGGGCGGGGUUGAGACCCAGGGCCUCAAGCUUAAUGAUGUGCUUGGAGGGUACUAUGGUGUUGAAUGCUGAGCUAUAGUCAAUGAACAGCAUUCUUACAUCGGUAUUUGUCUUGUCCAGAUGGGAUAGAGCUGUGUGCAGUGUGACGGCGAUUGCAUCAUCUGUGGACCUAUUGGGACGAUAAUCAAAUUGAAGUAGGUCUAGGGUGACAGGUAAGGUAGAGGUGAUAUGAUCCUUGACUAGUCUCUCAAAGCACUUCAUGAUGACAGAAGUGAGUGCUACAGGGCAAUAGUCAUUUAGUUCAGUUACCUUUGCCUUCUUAAGUACAAGAACAAUGGUGGCCAUCUUGAAGCAUUUGGGGACAGCAGACUGGGUUAGGGAAAGAUUGAAUAUGGCCGUAAACACACCAGCUAGCUGGUCUGCGCAUACUCUGAGUGACUGUGUGUAUGUGUUCACAGAUGCAGAGAGACCUGGGGCCUCAUUCUCAACCGUGUAUAUCACAAAUCUGUGUGUAAACCAUACAGGGGAUCAUUUCCACACGUAGUGUGAGAUUUAUCAAUAUGAAUGUUUGCUUGAGUGUGGUUAAAUUUACUCACAGCCAUGACCAUGCGUAAGCACAGUGCCAAGUGGUUUAGUAAGGGAACUUCUUGUCAAGUGUAGAAUGGGGAAGAUGUAUGUUGAAA